RNAcentral lists this long non-coding RNA (215 nucleotides) under Trifolium pratense (red clover). Its description in RNAcentral is "long non-coding RNA (TPRA_LNC009463)". The record is from RNAcentral. Lineage: Eukaryota; Viridiplantae; Streptophyta; Magnoliopsida; Fabales; Fabaceae.
UGAGAGUUUUGAUGAAAAAGUGUUUAAACUUUACUUUUUCGAUGUUUAUGAUGUAGAUCUGAGAAGUGAACUGUCCUUUUGUGUUUAGAUAUGUUUGUUGCACUUGAAUACAAACUCAUUUGGGGUUUAUAACAUGAAAAAUGGGAUUUUUGGGUGAAUUUGGGUGGAAAUCGCAUGUUUUGAGCAGUUCUGGCAGGAGCUGUUCGCUACAGCUC